RNAcentral lists this ribosomal RNA (423 nucleotides) under uncultured bacterium. RNAcentral describes it as "bacterial SSU rRNA". It matches the Rfam family "Bacterial small subunit ribosomal RNA", at positions 355 to 775 of the family's 1533-position model. The record is from RNAcentral.
UGAGGAAUAUUGGUCAAUGGGCGGAAGCCUGAACCAGCCAUCCCGCGUGAAGGAAGAAGGCCUUAUGGGUUGUAAACUUCUUUUCUGUUUGAAGAAUAAGCUUGUCGAGACAAGUGAUGCCGGUAGGACAGGAAUAAGCAUCGGCUAACUCCGUGCCAGCAGCCGCGGUAAUACGGAGGAUGCAAGCGUUAUCCGGAUUUAUUGGGUUUAAAGGGUGCGCAGGUGGUUUAAUAAGUCAGUGGUGAAAGUCUGCCGCUUAACGGUAGGAUUGCCAUUGAUACUGUUGGACUUGAAUAUGGAUGAGGUAGGCGGAAUGUGUAGUGUAGCGGUGAAAUGCUUAGAUAUUACACAGAACACCGAUUGCGAAGGCAGCUUACUAAUCCAUGAUUGACGCUGAUGCACGAAAGCGUGGGGAUCGAACAG